This 89-nucleotide transfer RNA is filed under the name Firmicutes bacterium CAG:822. Its description in RNAcentral is "transfer RNA-Leu(TAA)". It matches the Rfam family "tRNA". Rfam says of the family: Transfer RNA (tRNA) molecules are approximately 80 nucleotides in length. RNAcentral also lists the same sequence under 1 other name. The record is from RNAcentral. Lineage: Bacteria; Bacillati; Bacillota.
GCCUGAGUGGCGAAAUAGGUAGACGCACAGGACUUAAAAUCCUGCGGGAGUCAAAUCCCGUGCCGGUUCAAGUCCGGCCUCAGGCACCA